Molecule: ribosomal RNA, 217 nt
Filed under: uncultured bacterium
Lineage: Bacteria
Description: partial 16S ribosomal RNA
Rfam family: Bacterial small subunit ribosomal RNA
Source: RNAcentral
AUCUCAGUUCAGAAUUGCAGGCUGCAACUCGCCUGCAUGAAGUCGGAAUUGCUAGUAAUCGUAGGUCAGCAUACUACGGUGAAUACGUUCCCGGGCCUUGUACACACCGCCCGUCAAACCAUGAGAGUUGGCAACACCCGAAGUCGGUAGUCUAACCGCAAGGAGGACGCCGCCGAAGGUGGGGUUGAUGAUUAGGGUUAAGUCGUAACAAGGUAAC